GAUGAAGAACGUAGCGAAAUGCGAUAAGUAAUGUGAAUUGCAGAAUUCAGUGAAUCAUCGAAUCUUUGAACGCACAUUGCGCCCGCCAGUAUUCUGGCGGGCAUGCCUGUCUGAGCGUCAUUUCAACCCUCAAGCAACUUCUGCUUGGUGUUGGGGAUCGGCCGUCAAACGCCGCCCCCGAAAUCUAUUGGCGAUCUCGCUGUAGCUUCCUAUGCGUAGUAGUAACAUCUCGCAUCUGGAGAGCGGCGCGGUCAUGCCGUAAAACACCCAACUUCUCAGGUUGACCUCAGAUCAGGUAGGAAUACCCACUGAACUUAAGCAUAUCAAUAAGCGGAGGA
This 338-nucleotide unclassified non-coding RNA is filed under the name soil metagenome. RNAcentral describes it as "partial contains 5.8S ribosomal RNA, internal transcribed spacer 2, and large subunit ribosomal RNA". The stretch from base 1 to 120 matches the Rfam family "5.8S ribosomal RNA", at positions 35 to 154 of the family's 154-position model. The record is from RNAcentral.